AUUGGAGGGCAAGUCUGGUGCCAGCAGCCGCGGUAAUUCCAGCUCCAAUAGCGUAUAUUAAAGUUGUUGCCGUUAAAAAGCUCGUAGUCGAACUUCGGUCCCUGUUGGACGGUCCGCCUUCUUGGUGUGUACUUUCUCAACGGGGACUUACCUCCUCGUGAACUGCGAUGUCCUUUAUUGGGUGUCGUAGCGAACGAGGACGUUUACUUUGAAAAAAUUAGAGUGUUCAAAGCAGGCCUAUGCCCGAAUACAUUAGCAUGGAAUAAUAGAAUAGGACGCGCGUUCCCAUUUUGUUGGUUUCUGAGAUCGCCGUAAUGAUUAAUAGGGAUAGUUGGGGGCAUUUGUAUUCCGUCGUCAGAGGUGAAAUUCUUGGAUUGAUUGAAGACUAACUACUGCGAAAGCAUUUGCCAAGGACGUUUUCAUUAAUCAAGAACGAAGGUUAGGGUAUCGAAAACGAUUAGAUACCGUUGUAGUCUCUUCUGUAAACUAUGCCAAUUGGGGAUUAGCUCAGGAUUUUUAAUGACUGAGUUAGCACCCGAAGAGAAAUCUUUAAAUGAGGUUCGGGGGGGAGUAUGGUCGCAAGGCUGAAACUUAAAG
RNAcentral lists this ribosomal RNA (597 nucleotides) under Chaetoceros curvisetus. RNAcentral's name for it is "partial Eukaryotic small subunit ribosomal RNA". It matches the Rfam family "Eukaryotic small subunit ribosomal RNA", at positions 547 to 1149 of the family's 1831-position model. The record is from RNAcentral. Lineage: Eukaryota; Bacillariophyta; Thalassiosirophyceae; Chaetocerotales; Chaetocerotaceae.